CAAGAAGUCAAACGUUGCCAAGAUCCAUGUGGGAAGCUUCUAUAGGAUUUCUUUUUUCAAACCUUUAAUUUGACUAAAGGUUGCUUGUAUCUACCCCAAGGCCCAAGCAAUCCCCUGGAAUAAGUAGUUGUGGAAAUCUCUCUCCCCCUCAAUCAACCAAAUCAAUUUCAAGUUCCUCAAUACGACCAGCCCCAAAAACCUUUUUUUUUUUUUUUGCAGAUGUUGAAUCUUUUCGUUUGUGGCAGUGGCACUUUUCAUCGAGAAGAAGAAGCUGAACCAUGGAGUAAUAGUCCUUGUUCAUCACCGAGAAAACCCAGAAGGAAGAACCAUAACAAGGACAUCAAGAACCCUUAUUCCACUCGUGGGCUGGAUAAGUUUUCUGAACUUCUAGCUGAUCUUGAGGAGAAGAGGAAUAAGAUUUACUCACAAGUGGGCUCCCAAGACAUCUCUCUCGUACGCUUCAUGUACUCCAACUCCAAUGAUUGGGUUCCAAUUGUGGUGAAGUCCAAGAACAACAUGGAAGACAAAACACAGAUCAGGGAUAUUGUCAAAGAUAAGCAUGAUGCACCGGCUAAUAGCUCCGUUGAUUCGAAAGAACUGAUCAAGCAGCCAAUAUUGGAUUCAAAUGAAAGGCCUAAGAAGAAGAGUUUCUUUUGGAACAUGAAGUUGGAUAGAUGGAGAAGGCCAUCCUAUUAUCUACCAGCAGUUGUAAUCUUGAUUUUGUUGUUGUUGGCUGUGUUUGGGCGAUCUUUUGCCAUACUUUGUACCUCUCUUGGGUGGUACAUAGUCCCUUCCUUGAAGAUGAGCCCCAAUACAAAAAGGUCAACAAAGAAGAAAACUUAUGCAAGAGAAUUGAGCGAGAAUAAGAUGGUGGUCAGUGAGAAGACGAAAGAGUACACAAGAAGCAGUUCCGGGCUUGUGGAAGGAAAAUCACAGCAGCAACACGGCCAUCGGAAAAGCUGGUGAAGAUGAUCGUCUGAUUCUCUACUUUCUCCGUCUUUUUCAAAGGAAGUUAUCAAUCUGCUGUUGUGUUCAUAGGCUCAUGGGAUUUACCCACUACCAACAGAGAAAAAGGUUUGCUUGGAGCAUGAGCUGCUGCGUCAAAAGCCAUUAUGCAGUACAAUUAGGUGGGCGUUCGCGACCAGUCGAAUUUCUGAUUCAACGGCGAGCUAAUUUAUUGGAAUGAAUAAAAUGUAGACACCUGGGAAAAUCUUUGCUUCGUAUGCUGAAUUGUUCAAAUUCAAUUACCUGCCGAUGCCGGAUGGGGUUAGCAUUCGUUCUAAAACUUAGCCACGCAACGAAGUCCGCCGUGAAAUUCCAAGAAAUUCCUUGGCGUAACAUUGCAAAGCCUCAGAAAUUUCUACGCUGCUAACGUGAUAUUCGCAGCAUAUACAUAUUCCUGCUUGCAAGGCUAAAGACUCUCUUUUUCCGACGUUUUCGGAGCUCAUAAGAGGAAUGCAAUGUGAAUUAUUAAAAAUAGUUUAGGAUAGAUAUUUACAAGAAUCUUCAAUGAUAGAAGUGAGGUAAAAGCAUGUCCUGUCCUCAUGUUUUGCCGCGAAAAUUGGGUCAGAACUUAAGGAAAGUGAUAUUAGAUGUCAUUGCAGUGAAAGAUUGAGAU
Molecule: RNA transcript, 1618 nt
Organism: Carya illinoinensis
Lineage: Eukaryota; Viridiplantae; Streptophyta; Magnoliopsida; Fagales; Juglandaceae
Exons: 2
Source: RefSeq, a predicted model, not a curated record